AUUCAGUGAUCAGGACUGAACACACAGGAAUCACCAUGGAGUUUGUGCUGAGCUGGGUUUUCCUUGUUGCUAUAUUAAAAGGUGUCCAGUGUGAGGUUCAGCUGGUGCAGUCUGGGGGAGGCUUGGUACAGCCUGGGGGGUCCCUGAGACUCUCCUGUGCAGGCUCUGGAUUCACCUUCAGUAGCUAUGCUAUGCACUGGGUUCGCCAGGCUCCAGGAAAAGGUCUGGAGUGGGUAUCAGCUAUUGGUACUGGUGGUGGCACAUACUAUGCAGACUCCGUGAAGGGCCGAUUCACCAUCUCCAGAGACAAUGCCAAGAACUCCUUGUAUCUUCAAAUGAACAGCCUGAGAGCCGAGGACAUGGCUGUGUAUUACUGUGCAAGAGACACAGUGAGGGGAAGUCAGUGUGAGCCCAGACACAAACCUCUCUGCAGAAUGCUUGGGGGAAAUCAGCUGCGGGGGGCACACAGGACCCACUGAUCAGAGUCAUCCCCAGAGGCAAGUUGCAGAUGGAGGCUGGUUUCCUGUCAGGAUGUGGGACUUCAUCUUUUUAGAGUUUCUCUAGGGAAUCUCUCUAAGUUCAGAAUUCUGUGCUUACCAAUGUCAUCUCUACAUAUUUUUAAAAUGAUUAUUUUAAUAUGAAAACCUAUUCUCCUAUGCACAAAACACAGAUUGAUGCUUACAGAGAUGAAAAGCCCUCAACCAUUGUCACCAGGAUCAGAGUAUUGAGGAAACUCAGGGAUACCUGGUGAGUCUUCUCCAGUCAGACUCAGGACAGAAACCUCAGUGAGAUUCCCUGACUAGGACGGUCUUUAGGAAUUGUGAUCACAGCCAAUAGAGUCUGGGCCAGGGUCAGUGUCGUGUAGAACCUCACAGUUUUCAUUCCUGACCCUUCUCCUGACACUAAAGUAUGCAACUUAGUAUCAGCACUGAUCUGGGGCCCCUUUUGCUCUUAGCCCACUCUAUUUCUUUUUAUUUGUUGUUGUUGUUCUUGCUCUUCCUUGUGCUGUUCGUGCUUCCUGUAAAGUGGGGAUGUGGUUCUUGCUGCCAAAGCUCGAGGUCUCAAGCCCAUUCCCUGCAGCUGAGGUGGGGCUCAGGCUGUGGCUCCUGCAGCCAUGUGGGAGAGGCUGAUAGGACUUUUCUCUCUCCCAUUGCUCAGCACCCUCCAGUGUGUCAUGUGGAGACUCACCUGGGAAUGCAAGUGGCCAACAGUAGUGAAGAGGAUGAGCUUGUGUGGUCAAAAUGGGAUGUGGAUGUGAAAUUUAUCCUGUGCUGUGCAAAGUACCACAGAGUGAGUCACCUUCCUCACCAGUAGUGUUAGAAAGAGGGUGUGAAAGUUGUCAGAAUCAAAAUAGAUCCACUUGUGUUAAAACCCUGACAAAAGGAACUAGGAAUGACCAUGAAGGAGGUUUCCCAUGCACAUACUCCUGAUAACAAGAACGACCAUGAAUGGAUUCUGCUUAACCACAACCUUUGAUAGAAGCCACCAUGACCUUAUAAA
Molecule: non-coding RNA, 1500 nt
Organism: Homo sapiens (human)
Lineage: Eukaryota; Metazoa; Chordata; Mammalia; Primates; Hominidae
Source: the annotation of a RefSeq genome assembly